This is a long non-coding RNA of Diachasma alloeum, 218 nucleotides long. RefSeq lists it as uncharacterized. The record is from RefSeq and is a predicted model, not a curated record. NCBI's taxonomy places the organism in Eukaryota, Metazoa, Arthropoda, Insecta, Hymenoptera, Braconidae. The transcript has 3 exons.
GUAACGUGGUUUUCAGUCGACUGGGUGGACAUGUUCAUCCCUGAAAGUACCUACGAUAUCGUCAUGAUACAAACGAAUGACACUCUGUGAUCAAAACGCCGAAGGACAGUGCAAAAAUGAUGGAAUAGUCGGAAGUGCAGGAUUGGGACCUAAAUGCCAUGAGAAUGGUGACGCAAUGUCUGGAGUAAUUUAUGAUAAUAUGCAUUAUGAAGGUGUAC